GUGAUCUUCAUCAACGAACGAGAACGUUGCUCUGCUUGGAUCUGUAUAGUACCAUGCUCCAUUGCUUCUAGUUACUCUGCAAUCAUAAAAAAUUUAUAUAUAUUAAAAAAAUCCUUGUUCUACAAUCAAAACCGAAGAAAAGGAUUCUUAAGCUUAAAGAAGGAGAACAUUAAGUGAGAGAUGGUAUCUGAAACAAGGUAGUUAUGGAGUAGAAGAAUAGAUAAAACCCCUCACAAGUCCAAAAACCCUAUAUCAG
This 256-nucleotide unclassified non-coding RNA is filed under the name Hevea brasiliensis (rubber tree). The record is from RNAcentral. Lineage: Eukaryota; Viridiplantae; Streptophyta; Magnoliopsida; Malpighiales; Euphorbiaceae.